Molecule: long non-coding RNA, 886 nt
Filed under: Mus pahari (shrew mouse)
Lineage: Eukaryota; Metazoa; Chordata; Mammalia; Rodentia; Muridae
Description: lncRNA (MGP_PahariEiJ_G0005888.1)
Source: RNAcentral
GAAUUGUUCAAACAGAGAGAGAGAAUGAUAACUACAUUCCCAUUGACUGGAGCUCCAGCUCACUGCAGGGAGCAUCUCUGAAGUGGAAACCUCCCUGGGUUUUCCUCCCCACCCUGGCAUGCCAAAUCUCUACAAGGCUAACCACAUCCCCUCCCACUGAGGCCACACAAGGCAACCCAGCUAGAAUAUAUCCCACAGACAGGCAACAGCUUUUGGGCUAGCCCCAGUUCCAGUUAUUCGGGACCCACAUGAAGACCAAGCUGCACAUCUGCUACCUAAAGGAUCCAUGUAUGAGUCUUUGAACAGAGAAAAAACUCUCAAAAGAGUAUUAUUCAUCUUAAAGACUUCCAUGGAAUAUAGUUCAUGAAGUGUCUGCAAUAGAAAAAUAAGGAGCCUGACAGAUGCUCUUUUCACGGACACUGCACAGCCUCUCGGGAAGUUGCCGAUGAUGACAGCGAUGAGCUCACCUGACAGACUGCUCUUUCUCCCUCUUGGGAGACUCACAUCCACACCAGGAAGAACCCGGAGGAGUGACUCAGAAUUCCCAGCAUCAGUGCCAGCUUGUGUGCUGCUGCUCUGAGCGUGAGGGUGAUGAUCAUGCCAGGGAGUCAGAUGUCUGCUGGAUUUAGAAAAGGAUCGAAGGUCAUAAAGGGAAACAACAAGCCUAAGGGCUGCCAGGAGUUCCGAAGCCCUUACAACAUCUCUUCAACACCCUUCCCAGCCAGCAGCAUGGCUACCAGAAGAGGAGGGACAGCAAGGAAGAGGAAGGGAUGACUUACACCCCUCCUCUUCUUCCUACCCCGAAAACACCCAUGUUCCUAGCAUUCUCUACAGAGGAUUCGUAGCGUAAGCGAAUCUUACAAUAAAGAGAAAAUUUAACAACUGU